RNAcentral lists this unclassified non-coding RNA (219 nucleotides) under Hevea brasiliensis (rubber tree). Lineage: Eukaryota; Viridiplantae; Streptophyta; Magnoliopsida; Malpighiales; Euphorbiaceae. The record is from RNAcentral.
AUGGAGAAUUGGACAUAGAAUUAGGAUUCUUAUAGGCCCCAAAUGGAAAUUGUGAGAUUGUUAUAGGCCUGAGGCCAAUUUUGUGUUGUUGUUGCUUUGUUUUACAUUUGAUUUGCUAAGGGUUAGGUUUAGUUAUAAAGGAGUCUCUAUCGAAAUUUUGAUGACCCUAGGAUUUAUAAAUUUUUGCUUCAACUGUAUUUAAUUAUUUUAAUCAGUCAG